Molecule: non-coding RNA, 542 nt
Organism: Jaculus jaculus (lesser Egyptian jerboa)
Lineage: Eukaryota; Metazoa; Chordata; Mammalia; Rodentia; Dipodidae
Source: the annotation of a RefSeq genome assembly
ACUCUGGAGGAGCACCAUGAAGACACUGCUGGGAUCUCUGCUGGGGCUUUUGUGCUCCCAGCUUUGCUGUGUGAAAGGGCAGCAAGUGAAGCAGAGCCCCGAAUCCUUGAUUCUCCAGGAGAGAGACAGUUCCGUGUUAUAUUGCAACUUUUCUAUGGCUGUAAACAAUGUGAAGUGGUUUUACCAAAAUCCAGGGGGACGCCUCAUCAGCCUGUUUUACAAUCCUUCAGGAACAAAGCAGAGUGGAAGGCUGAAGUCAACAACUGUCUCUAAGGAACGUCACAGCUCUCUGUACAUUUCCUCCUCGCAGACCACAGACUCAGGCACUUACUUCUGCGCAGUGGAUUCACAGCGCACUCCAGACACUUGCAGCCUCGACAAAAAUCUUCAGCUGGGUGGGGGCGUCCCCUGCUCAGUCACAUGACAUCAUGAGACCACCACAGCAACAUUCGCAGCUUAAAGUCUCUUUACUGUAUUGACAGUUUUAGCCACAGGUAAUUUCUCAACCUCAUAGCCUAGAGUCUUUAUUUUCAUUUCUCAGU